UUUUGAUCCAAAAUAUUAGACAAAAUUACACGUAUAGUAGAGAUUAAAAAGUCUUGAAUCCUUGAUGUUGCAAUUGGCUACAAGGUUUUAAAACCUUGCAUACAAUGAGUCGAUGAUGGUGACCUCCACAUUGAGAACUUCAUGUCACAUGUUCUUAUCCUACAAUCUCAUGUCUACCAUUUCCACCCUGGUCACUUAUGAUGCACAAAUACAACACACACCCGAAGAUACGAUUAUUCUGAAACCAUAUAGAGUGCUAAUGUCACAAACAAAG
Molecule: long non-coding RNA, 274 nt
Filed under: Glycine max (soybean)
Lineage: Eukaryota; Viridiplantae; Streptophyta; Magnoliopsida; Fabales; Fabaceae
Description: long non-coding RNA (GMAX_LNC000515)
Source: RNAcentral